This 213-nucleotide ribosomal RNA is filed under the name uncultured bacterium. Its description in RNAcentral is "partial 16S ribosomal RNA". It matches the Rfam family "Bacterial small subunit ribosomal RNA", at positions 122 to 334 of the family's 1533-position model. The record is from RNAcentral.
UUAUCUCCCUUGAGGUGAGGAAUACCGGCGAGAAAUCGCCGACAAAACCGCAUAGGAUUGGCAACAAUCAAAGUUGUGCUUCGCGAGAAGUAUGACGCCACAAGAUGAGCUCGCGCCCGAUUAGCUGGUUGGUGAGGUAAAGGCUUACCAAGGCGACCAUCGGUAGCUGGUCUGAGAGGAUGAUCAGCCACACUGGGAUUGAGAACGGCCCAG